Molecule: long non-coding RNA, 442 nt
Organism: Podarcis muralis (Common wall lizard)
Lineage: Eukaryota; Metazoa; Chordata; Lepidosauria; Squamata; Lacertidae
Source: RefSeq, a predicted model, not a curated record
AAGGAUGUCAACACAUUCACUCUUGUUUAUGGCCUCCUCUGCUUUCCUCCCGUCAUCCCCCCUCAAUCCCCAGUCUUGAGGAUCCAUGACAAAGCUAAAGUAUACCCUUCAGUUCUUUCAAGGUUACAGUUUGUUAAAGAAACGAGGAAACAUGGGGAGGGAAGAGAGAAAAAGUCUGUCCUCCUUGAACAAAAGAGCCUCUCAAAGAACCAAUACACAAGUUCAACAAAUCUAAUCCUAACCUAAUGUUUAGGAGAGUUUUCCCAGUCCAACCUUGCGGCCAACAAGAAAGCAUGGUACAAAGCUAAACAUACUGAACUCCCUCAACCGUUCCUCAAAGGCUUGGAUCCAGACACUUGACCAUCUUGAUCACCCUCCUCUGCACAAGUUCCAGCUUGUCAACAUCCUUAUUCAAUUGUGGAGCCCAGAACUGGACACAGGA